AGUGAACGCUGGCGGUAGGCCUAACACAUGCAAGUCGAACGGCAGCACAGUAAGAGCUUGCUCUUACGGGUGGCGAGUGGCGGACGGGUGAGGAAUACAUCGGAAUCUACUUUUUCGUGGGGGAUAACGUAGGGAAACUUACGCUAAUACCGCAUACGACCUACGGGUGAAAGCAGGGGAUCUUCGGACCUUGCGCGAUUGAAUGAGCCGAUGUCGGAUUAGCUAGUUGGCGGGGUAAAGGCCCACCAAGGCGACGAUCCGUAGCUGGUCUGAGAGGAUGAUCAACCACACUGGAACUGAGACACGGUCCAGACUCCUACGGGAGGCAGCAGUGGGGAAUAUUGGACAAUGGGCGCAAGCCUGGUCCAGCCAUACCGCGUGGGUGAAGAAGGCCUUCGGGUUGUAAAGCCCUUUUGUUGGGAAAGAAAGGCAGCAGGUUAAUACCCCGCUGUUCUGACGGUACCCAAAGAAUAAGCACCGGCUAACUUCGUG
Molecule: ribosomal RNA, 492 nt
Filed under: uncultured bacterium
Lineage: Bacteria
Description: partial 16S ribosomal RNA
Rfam family: Bacterial small subunit ribosomal RNA
Source: RNAcentral